CCUACGGGUGGCUGCAGUGGGGAAUAUUGCACAAUGGAGGCAACUCUGAUGCAGCGACGCCGCGUGCGUGAUGAAGUCUUUAUGUACGGAAAGCUCUAUCAGCAGGGAGGAAAAUUACGGUACCUGACUAAUACGCCACGGCUCACUACGUGCCAGCCGCGGCGGUAAUACGUAGGCGGCAAGCGUUAUCCGGAUUUACUGGGUGUAAAGGGAGCGUAGACGGCAGCGCAAGUCUGGAGUGAAAUCCCAUGGCUUAACCAUGGAACUGCUGUGGAAACUGUGCAGCUGGAGUGCAGGAGAGGUAAGCGGAAUUCCUAGUGUAGCGGUGAAAUGCGUAGAUAUUAGGAGGAACACCAGUGGCGAAGGCGGCUUACUGGACUGUAACUGACGUUGAGGCUCGAAGGCGUGGGGAGCAAACAGGAUUAGAUACCCCAGUAGUC
Molecule: ribosomal RNA, 440 nt
Filed under: uncultured bacterium
Lineage: Bacteria
Description: partial 16S ribosomal RNA
Rfam family: Bacterial small subunit ribosomal RNA
Source: RNAcentral